Molecule: unclassified non-coding RNA, 691 nt
Filed under: Bombus terrestris (buff-tailed bumblebee)
Lineage: Eukaryota; Metazoa; Arthropoda; Insecta; Hymenoptera; Apidae
Description: misc RNA ENSBTSG00005035093.1
Source: RNAcentral
AUUACACUUGUUACGAUAUUAAUAUACUCGUAGACGAACUCGCGACGAAGUCAAGAGAUUUGUCUAUUUCGAUAAUAAAUACGAAAGUUGUUCACAGGUUUUAAAGUUUGUGGAUGUAUCAUAAAGCAAGUUACUCCCCGGAAAGUAACUUGGAAAAUUAAAUGCAAUUUUCGUACAGUCGAUAGGUCUGAACCGAGAGGAAAUUCCGGUGCUGUUGCCAAACUUUCGUCCACUUGGAAGUUGGUAUAUGUUGUAGGUAAUAAUUUAAAUAUAAUAAAGGAAAAGGGAAGGGAUACCGUAUGGAGUACGAGCAUCCAGGAGUACCCUCUUUGCUCGAUGCCACGAGACACCCUGAAACAAAUUCAAUCUGCGAAAGUAGUCGUGCUAACGUUAACACCAACAAAGAAAUACGUCUUGUAGCGGUAUCUUCGGUAACAAAUGCGGUAAUAAGGGGUGCUAUAAAAGAAACAAUGCAGUAGCCAGAAGGACUAAUAAAAUUCGAUCUUCUUCCGCUCUAUAUAAACCAGAUCAACAAACCGUGAGUGGAAUGGAAUAUUCUUCUUGUUUCGCGACGCUAAUUUCCUACUAAUAUUUAUAAAACAGAAAAUGCUCAAAAUCAAACGCGAAAAAGUGUUCCGUUGCAUCUGCAAUAUCAAUUAAUCUAUCAUUUACAAGAAAAAAAAAAAAAAAA